AAAAGGUGGCUAUGCUACCGCUUUUGGAUGGGCCCGCGGCGCAUUAGCUAGUUGGUGGGGUAAAGGCUUACCAAGGCAAUGAUGCGUAGCCGAACUGAGAGGUUGAUCGGCCACAUUGGGACUGAGACACGGCCCAAACUCCUACGGGAGGCAGCAGUAGGGAAUCUUCCACAAUGGGCGAAAGCCUGAUGGAGCAACGCCGCGUGGGUGAAGAAGGUCUUCGGAUCGUAAAACCCUGUUGUUAGAGAAGAAAGUGCGUGAGAGUAACUGUUCACGUUUCGACGGUAUCUAACCAGAAAGCCACGGCUAACUACGUGCCAGCAGCCGCGGUAAUACGUAGGUGGCAAGCGUUAUCCGGAUUUAUUGGGCGUAAAGGGAACGCAGGCGGUCUUUUAAGUCUGAUGUGAAAGCCUUCGGCUUAACCGGAGUAGUGCAUUGGAAACUGGGAGACUUGAGUGCAGAAGAGGAGAGUGGAACUCCAUGUGUAGCGGUGAAAUGCGUAGAUAUAUGGAAGAACACCAGUGGCGAAAGCGGCUCUCUGGUCUGUAACUGACGCUGAGGUUCGAAAGCGUGGGUAGCAAACAGGAUUAGAUACCCUGGUAGUCCACGCCGUAAACGA
This 619-nucleotide ribosomal RNA is filed under the name uncultured bacterium. RNAcentral describes it as "bacterial SSU rRNA". It matches the Rfam family "Bacterial small subunit ribosomal RNA", at positions 202 to 809 of the family's 1533-position model. The record is from RNAcentral.